Molecule: transfer RNA, 75 nt
Filed under: Petrotoga sp. 9PWA.NaAc.5.4
Lineage: Bacteria; Thermotogati; Thermotogota; Thermotogae; Petrotogales; Petrotogaceae
Description: tRNA-Thr
Rfam family: tRNA
About the family: Transfer RNA (tRNA) molecules are approximately 80 nucleotides in length.
Source: RNAcentral
GCCGGCGUAGCUCAACGGUAGAGCGGCUCAUUCGUAAUGAGUAGGUUGGGGGUUCAAAUCCCUUCGCCGGCUCCA